CGGAUGUAGCCAAGUGGAUCAAGGCAGUGGAUUUGUG
RNAcentral lists this transfer RNA (37 nucleotides) under Flagellaria collaris. Its description in RNAcentral is "partial tRNA-His". Lineage: Eukaryota; Viridiplantae; Streptophyta; Magnoliopsida; Poales; Flagellariaceae. The record is from RNAcentral.